Molecule: small nucleolar RNA, 123 nt
Organism: Rattus norvegicus (Norway rat)
Lineage: Eukaryota; Metazoa; Chordata; Mammalia; Rodentia; Muridae
Product: small nucleolar RNA SNORA17
Source: Ensembl
CCUGCCCCUAGAGGAGUGGUUACUGUGUCACAUGGGCAUCCGUAGGUGGCAGAGAGGAGAGAGGCUAUGUCUGUGCUCAGUGUUCUGACCUAUGAACAGCUGAAUGAUUAGUAGCCUAACCUU